GACGAACGCUGGCGGCGUGCUUAACACAUGCAAGUCGAACGGAAAGGCCCGGCUUUUGUGGGGUGCUCGAGUGGCGAACGGGUGAGUAACACGUGAGUAACCUGCCCUUGACUUUGGGAUAACUUCAGGAAACUGGGGCUAAUACCGGAUAGGAGCUCCUGCUGCAUGGUGGGGUUUGGAAAGUUUCGGCGGUUGGGGAUGGACUCGCGGCUUAUCAGCUUGUUGGUGGGGUAGUGGCUUACCAAGGCUUUGACGGGUAGCCGGCCUGAGAGGGUGACCGGCCACAUUGGGACUGAGAUACGGCCCAGACUCCUACGGGAGGCAGCAGUGGGGAAUAUUGCACAAUGGGCGGAAGCCUGAUGCAGCAACGCCGCGUGCGGGAUGACGGCCUUCGGGUUGUAAACCGCUUUCGCCUGUGACGAAGCGUGAGUGACGGUAAUGGGUAAAGAAGCACCGGCUAACUACGUG
This 468-nucleotide ribosomal RNA is filed under the name uncultured bacterium. RNAcentral's name for it is "partial 16S ribosomal RNA". It matches the Rfam family "Bacterial small subunit ribosomal RNA", at positions 28 to 507 of the family's 1533-position model. The record is from RNAcentral.